This 484-nucleotide ribosomal RNA is filed under the name uncultured bacterium. RNAcentral describes it as "partial 16S ribosomal RNA". It matches the Rfam family "Bacterial small subunit ribosomal RNA", at positions 30 to 507 of the family's 1533-position model. The record is from RNAcentral.
AUUGAACGCUGGCGGCAGGCCUAACACAUGCAAGUCGAGCGGAUGAACGGAGCUUGCUCCUGGAUUCAGCGGCGGACGGGUGAGUAAUGCCUAUGAAUCUGCUUGGUAGUGGGGGAUAACGUCCGGAAACGGGUGCUAAUACCGCAUACGUCCAGAGGGAGAAAGUGGGGGAUCUUCGGACCUCUCGCUCUCAGAUGAGCCUAGGUCGGAUUAGUUAGCUGGUGGGUUAAAGGCCUACCAAGGCGAGGAUUCGUAACUGGUCGGAGUGGAGGAGAGGUCACAUUGGAGCGUGGACACGGACAAUGGUACUACGAGAGGGAGCAGUGGGGAACAGGGGACAGUAGGCGAAAAUCUGAUCCAGCCGUGCCACGUGUGAGAAGAAAGUCUUCGGAGUGUAAAGAACUUUAAGUGGGUGGGAAGGGCAGUAAGUUAAUACCAUGCUGUUUUGACGGUACCAACAGAAGAAGCACCGGCUAACUUCGUG